GCGUGGGGAGCCGGUCUUGCAGCAGCGGGAUUAGCUUCUAAAGUCUCUUUCAUCUCUCCUAAGGAAGAAGCCUAGAAGAAGAAGAAGAGGAAAGAAAAGGAGUCAGGAAUGGCUCUUAGACUUUAGGUUCUUCAGCCUUUGGACUCUGGGACUUGAACCAGCAGCUUCCUGGGAUCUCUCGAGCCUUUGGUCAGAGACUGAAGGUUGCAUUGUUGGCUUCCUUGGUUUUGAGGUUUUCAGACUUGGACUGAGCCACUAACACCUUCUGUCUUCUCCAGUUUGCAUACAGCCUAUCAUGGGACCUUUGCCUUGUAAUUGUGUGAGCCAGUUCUCCCUAAUAAACUCCCUUUUAUAUAUACAU
This is a long non-coding RNA of Symphalangus syndactylus (siamang), 361 nucleotides long. RefSeq lists it as uncharacterized. Lineage: Eukaryota; Metazoa; Chordata; Mammalia; Primates; Hylobatidae. The record is from RefSeq and is a predicted model, not a curated record.